ACUCUUCCUUUGUGUAAGUUAUCCUUCCAAGAUAUUACCUUUUAUGUUGGUAUAGGUACACUACCGUAUAGUUAUACAAAGUGUAUAAUUCCCCUGAAUUUUAUUAUGCUCAUUAUUCUAAUUUAUCAUUCCUCAAAAUCAUGGUUAUUCCACUGAAAUCGUGAAAUCUCUAAGUCUUCAUUCAGCGCCAGAACAGACCAAGUUUCACAAUGCUUUCUCUAAAAGGCACACUCUUUGUUUCAAAAAACUGGAAAUUCAAUUGUUCUCUAUCAUUCAAAAUAAAAAAAAAUGUAGUUUUAAAGAGAAUCUACUAGUGUUGCCGGUGACCCCUAAAUAUAAGUUUCCCUGACCUUCCAUAACCCCAGUCCAGCAUUUUUUCAUACAAUUAACUUUAAUACAGGCAAGUUUGACUGGGAAUUGCAUUGGGCAGUUCCUAUCUAUAAUAUGUACUUGCAUGACUGAGGCCAAAAUUAGCUGAAACCUUUACAGGUAAUGACAAUCAGACAAAAGAAAAAGUAUAAAAGCAUGAAAAACACAGCAAUCCCUUCCCUGGCACGGCCCAGCUUUCACAGCCUGGCAACUUUGAGCCUGUUUGCAGGGCCACCUCAUCCACCCUCUGCAAAUCAGAAUAACCUUUUUUGGGAGUAUUUUUGGUAUAAAAUCUUGGUACAGAAUGUCUUGUGUAGAAAAAAAGUGCUUUCUUCUGAUAAUUUUAAAUAUAUUGCCUGCUAAUUUCAUUUUUCAGUUGAUACUUUUUGUGUCAUGACACAAUCACAAUGAAUUUACCUUUCCCCAAUAAUCUGUAAUAUUUGAGACCGUUAACAAGCUACUAAGUUUCUGUCCAGGCUACAGAAUUUCAUUCUAUCUCAUUACUUCUUGUAGAGAAGCUGUUUGAUUCUUCUGCUGUUUGUGUUACUCUUUUGUUCAUGCUUUUCAAGUUCUAUUAUACCACUGCUAAGAGGAGGUGACCAACACCACUAACAAUAAGUGAGGUGCCAGUUCACUUUAGUUGUGCAGUAUCACAGCAAAAUCUGCUUUUUUCAUUAGUUGCCAAGAGUAUUGUGACAUUUGCUGGACUUCAGAUGUCUGAUAUCACCGCAGGGCUGCAGAAUGAUUUCUCAAGCACCUCUGCUUUUAUCUAUCCUAAAAACUCUUCUCUGCUACAAAUCUUCCACCCUCCUUUCCUAAACCACUCAUUCUUCUUAAUGUUACUUGUUCAAAGAAGCCCAAACUGGUGACUCUCUAUUCUCUCUGACUUCCAUGUCCUCCUACCUUUUAAACAACUACAGGAAAACCUCUCACCCUCUAAUUGCUUCAAAAAACUAAAAGACUUAGGCAAAAAAAACUUGUUGAAAGGUUUGUAACAAUCCAUACAGACCAUAUCAACUAACAUAAAGUCCAGUAGACUCUCACCAUUUUGAAUCUGUGACUCACCUCUCUAAUUAACUCUCCCAAAAUAUAUUGAAAUUAUGCAUAUUUUAGUUUCCCUGUAACCUGCUUGACAUGGCAGUCCCUAUUUUCUUAGGAUGGUCUUGCCACCCUCCUCCUGUCUAGUUUUGUGACUCUCUUGUGCCUUAAGAACACUGCACAACAGGUAAGUUUAAUUACCUCAUGCUUGAGCUCCUCUAGAAUUUAGUAAAUGCUUGUGUCUUCCAACUUAACACUAGUCAGUUUAUCAGACUUACUGACAUGCCAGCCAGAGGGUGAACCUGGGGAAUUGUAUCCAUUAAGAUCCUUACCCCCUUUCCCAUUUCCACAGCGAACAGCCUCAGCCUUGCCUUCCAUGGAUGCUGGCAGCAGGUGUUAGAACCCGACACCAUUUGUCCUACAACAAGCAGAGCCGCAGUGAUCUCUCUAUGGAUCAACUUUCUGAUCUGCCCACAGAAACAUUCCACAUUUUUUAGCGUGACAAGGAAACAAGAAAAUAUUUCCUUCAGCAUUUCCAUUUGCAUUUACGGAUCACGCCAAGAUUUGCUGCACCGAGGCCAAAACAAUCCCGGAGAAGCGGAGCCGGCGGAGCUCCCAGCGCCCCGUGACCACGGCGCCCCGUGCACAGGCGGGCACGGUCACGGCUGCGGUCGGUCCCGGAGCUCGGUCACCGCCUGUUCCACGGCCACUGACAACGCGUGAAACCGAACAGCUCCUCGGCUCGCUUCAUCCGCCAGCGCGGCCGGACUCUGUCAUGUUCGAGGAGAUGGUUCAAGCAGUGAAAUUACAUACACCAAGUCUCAUACCAAUUAAGACUUUAACCACUAAUUCCUUAGAAUAAAAGAAAAGCAACCUGAAGUGGAAAUAAGACAGCUUACAUCACGUCCAGCUUCACCAGGAGCACCAUUUGGACCAGGAGAACCCACGGGACCAGAGGGACCACGGGCACCAGGAGGACCAGAAACACCCAGGGGACCAGGUUCACCCUAAUAUAGGAACAGUGAGAUGCCUGGAAGACCACGUUCUCCCCGAGAACCAGGCAGACCAAGAAUACCAGGAGCACCAAGAAUACCCUGAGGACCUGGGGUACCGGGAGGACCCUGUGAUGUGAAG
Long non-coding RNA from Corapipo altera (White-ruffed manakin), 2541 nucleotides. RefSeq lists it as uncharacterized. The record is from RefSeq and is a predicted model, not a curated record. Lineage: Eukaryota; Metazoa; Chordata; Aves; Passeriformes; Pipridae. The transcript has 3 exons.